Molecule: long non-coding RNA, 436 nt
Filed under: Homo sapiens (human)
Lineage: Eukaryota; Metazoa; Chordata; Mammalia; Primates; Hominidae
Description: HSALNT0247295
Source: RNAcentral
CCUCCUCUUCUGAAGAAUGGGACAUCUUAUCAGACUCUACAUGUGUGAACAUGGAGUAUACUUCCCCUGCCCUUAGGAAUGUAAUACCACACCUUAAUCAGACCCCAUAUGUGAGCUACUGACCUCAACUACUGGAUUUCAAAUACAAUAAACUCAGGAGUUUGGCAGACACUGUAAGAGCUGAGGCCAUGGCAGGCUGCACUUUCAGCUGCCUUGCCAAUACUCACAGCUUAGGCAGCCACAGCACCACAGCCUGUUAGCCUUUGAAGUUAUCUCCAAAGCCUGGCCUGGCAGCACCAACACCACCCUUCAGCUUUAGGCUCAUCAUGGAUAUCUGCUGUGUUUGAUCUCUGCUGUGUUGGAUGCCAGCUUUCCUGAGAAACUUUUCAUAUAAAGGUACACCUUAACCUUUAACUGGACUUUACUUUCCACAGAG